This 434-nucleotide small RNA is filed under the name Pongo abelii (Sumatran orangutan). Its description in RNAcentral is "processed transcript". The record is from RNAcentral. Lineage: Eukaryota; Metazoa; Chordata; Mammalia; Primates; Hominidae.
CAGGGGAGAAAAAGGAAGUUGUCCUCCACGAACGCCUGGAAUCGCAGUGGAUUUGAAUCGAAAGUUGUUCGGUCUUUGGGGAAGGAUCAACAAAGAGCUAUGUGUUUAGUCUACCAUCCUUAACCAGAAGUCUGGGACAUAAUUCUUUAUAAAAAUAGGGGCUUUGUUAUGCACCUAAAGCCAUACUGGAAGCUCCAGAAGAAAGAGCACCCCCCGGAAGUCAGCAGGGAAACGCAGAGAACUCCUAUGAACCACCAAAAGGCUGUAAAUGAUGAAACAUGCAAAGCUAGCCACAUAACACCAAGUAUCUUUCCUUCACCCUCUCUCGAUCAGCCACUCUUGAUCUGGUUUUCAUGUGGGACACAAAGCUGUGACUGCGUGAGGGGUUAAAGUGACCAAGAGCAGAGGGCACACCCUCACUUGAUCAUUUGAAG